This is a long non-coding RNA of Acinonyx jubatus (cheetah), 1035 nucleotides long. RefSeq lists it as uncharacterized. Lineage: Eukaryota; Metazoa; Chordata; Mammalia; Carnivora; Felidae. The record is from RefSeq and is a predicted model, not a curated record. The transcript is spliced from 2 exons.
AAGUUGCUAGCUCCCGCCUCAUCUUCUUUUCCGGGCUUAAACAUUCAUCUCACAGCCCACCGGCCUCUCCACGAGAGCUGGCAUUUUGGAGGUCCCCAGCAAAACUCUUAGCGCUCUCCUUUGGCCACCUCUUUGUCUGGCAUGACAACUUUCAGGGAAGGACCUCACCUCCUGCGGAGAGCCCUGGCCCCACACAUUGGCUUCUAUCUCUCACCUGCUCCGUGUGCUGGAACCCAAACUCUCACCUGAUUCGGCCACGCGGUCUUUCAAACUCUGCCUCCGGCCUACCUGCUUCUUUCUAACUGGACAGCCGCCCUCGUUGCCUACUUGGAGACUGUGAGCCUCCCUGUGGUUUCCUGCUCCUCUCCUAUUAAUUUUUGGGAGAUCUUGAGACUGUAAAUGUAGGCCCUCCUUCCGUCACACCUGAAUGCUUUGCUUCCUUUAAAAAAAAUUUUUUUGGGGGGGGGUGAGGAGAGCACAAGCAGGGGAGGGGACCGAGAAAGGGGGACUGGGGAUCUGCAGCAGGCUCUGCGCUGACGGGCUGACGGCAGUGAGCCGGAUGUGGGGCUCGAACUCACGAACCUCGAGAGCAUGACCUGAGCCAAGGUCAGACGUUCACACAACUGAGCCACCCAGGUGCCCCCUGAAUGCUUCUCUGUUCCGUGUGGACGGAAGACAGCAUCUCGGACAACAUCCCUGUUUCUUAAGAGGGUCAACACCAUCACGGAUGUGAGAGCAUCGUGCAACCAAGUGUUAUGCCAAUGACCAUGAGGAUGACCAGUGUUGUUCCUUCUCCCAGUUUCAGAGAGGGGCACCCCCCCCCUUUUGUUCCUUUUUGUGAUUCUGUGUCCUCCUGGCUGCUUUUCACGUCCUUUUCCAAAGCCUUCCCUCUUCCCACCCAGGAAUGCCACAUGGUGCUUCAUCAUUUCCAGUGACAGCCAAAUAAUUGAAUUGUUAUUGGUUUGGAAGGGGGAGAAAUGUUUGCUAAAUUGUUCCUCUUUGGAUAAUGUUCACGUACUUCCCAGUUGUGAUUUA